GUAAGUAGUAUAUCACAUAUAUAUAUAUAUAUAUAAUAUAAUAUAUAAUAUAUAUCUCUAUCCA
This 64-nucleotide transfer RNA is filed under the name Anadara vellicata. Its description in RNAcentral is "tRNA-Tyr". The record is from RNAcentral. Lineage: Eukaryota; Metazoa; Mollusca; Bivalvia; Arcoida; Arcidae.